This 445-nucleotide ribosomal RNA is filed under the name uncultured bacterium. RNAcentral describes it as "bacterial SSU rRNA". It matches the Rfam family "Bacterial small subunit ribosomal RNA", at positions 28 to 497 of the family's 1533-position model. The record is from RNAcentral.
GACGAACGCUGGCGGCGUGCUUAACACAUGCAAGUCGAGCGAUGAAGCACCUUCGGGUGUGAAUUAGCGGCGAACGGGUGAGGAACACGUGAGAAAUCUGCCUUCAACUCUGGGAUAACUCCGUGAAAACGGGGCUAAUACCGGAUAUGAGCCUUGAUCGCAUGAUCGAGGCUGGAAAGUUUUCGGUUGAAGAUGAUCUCGCGGCCUAUCAGCUUGUUGGUGAGGUAAUGGCUCACCAAGGCGACGACGGGUAGCCGGCCUGAGAGGGCGACCGGCCACACUGGGACUGAGACACGGCCCAGACUCCUACGGGAGGCAGCAGUGGGGAAUAUUGGGCAAUGGAGGAAACUCUGACCCAGCGACGCCGCGUGAGGGAUGAAGGCCUCGGUGUAAGCUCUUCAGUGGGGAAGAGUAAUGACUGUACCGACCAGAAGAAGACCCCGGC